Molecule: long non-coding RNA, 2828 nt
Organism: Cygnus olor (mute swan)
Lineage: Eukaryota; Metazoa; Chordata; Aves; Anseriformes; Anatidae
Exons: 5
Source: RefSeq, a predicted model, not a curated record
AAUACUUCUGGUCUGCUUUGGCUCAUUUGAGUGCCAAUGCUCGGUGGAAGGAUUUAUCAGGAAAAUGCCGUACCAGAAGCUAGGCUGGAGACCUCUGUGUGCCACUGGAACACAGAUGGCAAAUAACACCGUAAGACGUGAAUCAGCAUCCGCUGGCUUGUGGUUGUCUCCAGUGAUCCAGGACCUGGUGGGACAGAGGUGCCUUAGGUGAGCUCUCUCCAUCCCAGCUCUGCUGAAUAUCAGCAGCCAGCAUUAAUGGUCAAGCUCUCAUCUGCACAAAAAGACAGAAAAGUGGUUGUGAAACCAUGAUGAAUAUUUAGGUCGCACCAAGUGUGAAAGAACACUGCAGCACUCAAGAAGAGAAUUAACUCGUAGCUAUCAGACAGCUCGUGUCGCGAAGCGGAAAUUACAGCCAUUUAUGUGAUUUCAGGCUAAUUUCUGCCAGUACUUGUUCUGGGCUGCUACUGCUGGCUUCCAAAGAUCUCCUGUUCUGGACUGAUUACGCAAAAGCAGCCCCUGAUAGCAGGCACACGGAAGUUUCCUGUGUGAUGCCCCCACCUUGGAGCCCUGGUGGAGCCCAGGUGUCCCACAGAGGUCCAACCAACAGAGCUGAAGUGACAGAGAAUCUGCCGUCUCCUCGGCUUUCCUCCCAGAUAAGCGCACGUAGCUGCCUGGCCUCCUUCCACCCACUUCUCUCCAUAUGUUCAUCCAGUUAUCACAGGAACGUGCCCACGUGCAACCCUUGAAUUGAGGUUUUUGCAUCUGAAAGCAAAAGGUGACAAACAAGAGUGCACUGGAAAGCCAAAAUCUGUGCUAGGAGGGUGGCUGGGUCUGCCGAGCCCCCAGCGCUGUGUCCAUGCACAGCGGUUUGAGCAGGUGAGGAGGAGGAAAGCACGGUUUCCUAACUGCAAACAGCCUCCACAUGGGGAAGCGAGCGUCUCCCAUUUGGAUCCUAGGAAGCCCGUGGGCUGGCUGUGCUGCGAGCUGCUGGCAGGGCACAGCGCUCCUUACAGCGAGCUGCGCUCCUGCGCGUGCAGGUGGGACCUCUGCCAUCAAAAGGAAAACCACAACCGUGGAGGCUGUCAGGAGCAAAACGCUCGAGCAGCUCCCAAAGAGGAGAUGCUGGUGUGGAACUAGAGGGUGCUGCCACAAGCCGCAAGGAAGAUUAAUGGGAGGAUUUUACUUUGAGCAUAUUGGGAAUUUUGAAUUUUUUCCGGUUCUGACAAGACUUCAGAGGUCUCCUCUCUUCCUCCCAAACCACAGCUUUGGGUAUUAUUAACAUGCAAAUUAACAUGAUUUAUAGAAAACAGCAUCUUGACAAGCUGACAAGCAUUGCACAGGACAAGGGCUGGGUUUGGGAGGUUUUCCUGCUUCCACAACCGCUGCUGUUGGCUGGGAUGGGCCAUGCACAGCGGUGGUCGGGGUGCUGAGGAUGUGUGCUCCUGUGGUUCUCUUGGAGGCGCAGAGCUGGGACACCCUGCUGGGGGCAGCCCCCUGGGGCGGCUCUCUGGGUCCUACCAAAGCUAGCAGAUGAUUUGCUUUGUUGCUGUUACUGGAAUUGGGUUGGGACCUGUGUUGCAUAGCAACCCUGAAUUAUUUUAAAAACCUCAAAAGGGUAUUAAUGCUACUCCUGAAUAACGACAGUUUGUUUUGCUGCUGUUUAUGGAUUGUUUUUAUGCUGUUCCCCAGCCGAGUGAAGGCUUUCAUCUUCCUAAACAAUGAAAUUCAAGUUAUUGCCAGAAGAGUGGUAGCUCCCGCUCAGUGGCACAGCAGCUGUAAUUAGUCUUUUCCAGUGCACACUCCCUGGCUUUCAUUUUAAGGAGGACUUUAACUUGUUGCUUACCACUCACAGCUGACCGGGCUCAGCUCCCACUCACAAAAUGAGUUUCCCAAGUUCAAGCAGAGGCUGCAUUUCAGCUGUGGGUGUUUCCUGCGUGGAUUCUCAUUCCCAGAUGGAAAGUGCUUACAGCUUGUCUGUCUUCACUGCUUUUAGGAAAAAUUGUCUCUGAAAACAAGGGAUAUACCACGUCUUUUUCUCCUCCUCUUUGAAAGCUGUCAGUACUAAUUUAAUUAGUUGUUGCAUAAUCACAGUUUAGCAUUUCCAAGUCUAAUGUAUUGUAAUGUUGUUUAUACUGAUUUGAUGAUUAAGGGUCUUGUCAGAGUCUUUGUUUCCUUACAAAAAGAAAAUGUAGUUAUCUUUUUUUUUUUUUUGUAAAAAAAGUCUUUCUUGCUAUGCAAAUGAGACACAGCAGAUUAAGGAGGCUUAUUUCACCUGGAAAGGUAUUUACAAUAAUUUUCAAUAGUCCUGCUGUCACUGUCCACAGCAGCCUUGUCAUCCUUUGCAAGGUAGCUGACACGGGUCGCUGACACACAACAUGGACUCUGCCCAGCCUUGGCCCAUGCUCCUGUCCACCUGCACCCUCUUCUCCUUUACCAGCAGCAGAAGGGCUCUCCCCGGCUCUCUGCCUGCUGAUGGAGUCCCUCAGGGCCUCUCCUGCAGUGUGCCCCUCUUACAGCGGGCUGUUUGUCGGGGCUGCUCCUGGUGCUCCCCACCAGCUGCAGGUCCAUGCUCGGAGCAGGCAUCGUGGUGGCUGCAGGACCCACUGCCAGCUGGGGAGCCUGUGACUGGGGGUAAAUCGUGGUGUAUCUGGGGCAAAAGGCUCAGUUUGGAGGCUGAGAGAGCUCCUUGCUUCUCUGCUUUGCAGAGGUGCUGUCAUCGGGUGUGAUCCUGCCCAGCAGGGAACUGCUGCCUUCCUUGAGCAGAUGAGGCUUCCUCAACUGCCUUUUCCAGGGACUGUGGAGCCUACACCAGGAUUUUUGCAAAUCCC